ACGUUUACCACGACGACGACGAGCACGACAAGUCGGUGGGCGGCUUCAUGCUCAGGUCGGCGCAGACCCGCGUCGAGCCGGCGGCGGCGGCCAACAGCCAGGUUUAACCAAUCAUGCAUGCCGGGGCAAUUCACAAGAAAUCCAGUGGAAAUUCGUUCGCCUUUCAGUUUUCGCGCGCGCGUCAUGUCGUGAUCCGAUC
RNAcentral lists this microRNA precursor (199 nucleotides) under Hordeum vulgare. RNAcentral's name for it is "miR6214 stem-loop (hvu-MIR6214)". The record is from miRBase by way of RNAcentral. Lineage: Eukaryota; Viridiplantae; Streptophyta; Magnoliopsida; Poales; Poaceae.